Molecule: ribosomal RNA, 497 nt
Filed under: uncultured bacterium
Lineage: Bacteria
Description: partial 16S ribosomal RNA
Rfam family: Bacterial small subunit ribosomal RNA
Source: RNAcentral
GACGAACGCUGGCGGCGUGCCUAAUACAUGCAAGUUGAGCGCUGAAGGUUGGUACUUGUACCAACUGGAUGAGCAGCGAACGGGUGAGUAACGCGUGGGGAAUCUGCCUUUGAGCGGGGGACAACAUUUGGAAACGAAUGCUAAUACCGCAUAAAAACUUUAAACACAAGUUUUAAGUUUGAAAGAUGCAAUUGCAUCACUCAAAGAUGAUCCCGCGUUGUAUUAGCUAGUUGGUGAGGUAAAGGCUCACCAAGGCGAUGAUACAUAGCCGACCUGAGAGGGUGGUCGGCCACAUUGGGACUGAGACACGGCCCAAACUCCUACGGGAGGCAGCAGUAGGGAAUCUUCGGCAAUGGACGCAAGUCUGACCGAGCAACGCCGCGUGAGUGAAGAAGGUUUUCGGAUCGUAAAACUCUGUUGGUAGAGAAGAACGUUGGUGAGAGUGGAAAGCUCAUCAAGUGACGGUAACUACCCAGAAAGGGACGGCUAACUACGUG